Diceros bicornis minor is the source of this 2886-nucleotide long non-coding RNA. RefSeq lists it as uncharacterized. The record is from RefSeq and is a predicted model, not a curated record. NCBI's taxonomy places the organism in Eukaryota, Metazoa, Chordata, Mammalia, Perissodactyla, Rhinocerotidae. The transcript is spliced from 2 exons.
AACUACCCACAGCAAGGUCUCCAACCUCUCUGUUUCAUGCUAAAGACUGCCUUACAAGACCGUCGUGACGCCUGAGGAGGAAGCCAACGCCUUCGCGCGGGGCCUGGUACACAGCAGCGCGCGGCAAGCUCGGGCCCUUUCCGCCGCUCCUCCCCACAUUCCACGGGAACCUUGCGCCGCCCCACCUCCCUGAGCGCCGCCCUGCGAAGCAGCGAGCAGAAAUGAGGGAGCCUUGCGAUCUCCUACCUUCUGCCGGGAGCUUUCAGGCGAUGUGGCUUGGCCCCUGGCCUGAGGCCGCGCGGAUCGGGUGACCACCAUUUUUCCAGCUCCCGACUCCCCGGCGACCACCGCGGCCCGCCUCUCUUCCGGCGCGCCGGAAGUGCGUCAGAGAAGUGCCUGGCUCGUUUUUUUCGCGUGAAUCCCGGAACUCGCCAGAAUCUCGCACCUGCCUCCGCCCCACCGACGGAGGCGGGGCCCGUUAGACCUGGGGGGUCUCAAAAGCCACAGUUUUAGCGGUCGCUCCAGUGCGUAGAAAACAGACCAGGCUUUUGCAGGGAGAGACCUUCGUGGAGGCUGCGAAACUCGCAGUGAUAGAGGGCCCUCGUCCCCGUUUCACACGAACGAAUUGGGAAAAUCGCAUCUUCUGCUUCACGCACCCUCUCAUUUGUUCAGCAAUUCUGAAGGUCUCAGUGUAGCCAUGGGUGUGACCGAAGGAGACUUUUCGUUAUUUAUUAUAUAUAUAUAUUUUUACAAUCAUGUAUUAUUUGUGAAGUUAAAUAUGAAUAAAAUUUCAAGAGUUGGUUGCGGUAAAGAUGUAUACGUUAAAUGCCCCAGGAACUCGGAGACAGUUGGGAACUAUAUAAUCUAACGGUGAGAUGGUGAGUAGGGAUUGAGAAUAAGCAGAAAAGAAGUGUUAAGGAAAUUGUAAAGAAGAGCGAUAAAAAAAAAAAAUUGGAGUGAAAGGAAAAGAAUGACCAGAAUCAAGAGAAGCUUUUUGAUUUUCUUUUGGGAUGAAGAGUGGAGAGCUGGAACAUGAGGGGAAUGGAAGAGGAUUGAAGAAGCCACUGUCAUUUGGGGAUUUUCUGUUAUUUACAGCCAAGCCUAAUCCCAACUGAAGAAUGGAAUAAAAUACAGCGAUGGAGAGGUUAGCUACACAGAAGAAUGCUCCUUCCUGUGAGGGAGGGGAGAAGAGUGGAUGAAGCAGAGAGAAUGUGAAUGCAGGGAAAUUAAAGUGGAGACAAGAGAUUUUGCAUAGAUAACCUCAGUCUUCUCUGUAAGUAGAAGGUGAUUCAUCUGCUCAGAGAAUGAAAACAAUUUAGAUUGACUCGUGAGGAAUGUGGUAAGGAGCAAAAAGAAGGAGUUUUAGUUGGGCCAAGUAGCAAUGAGACUGUGUAAGAUGAAGAACAGAAAAGAAAACAGGCCGGAUUUGAAGAGGAGGCAGAAUGGUGUAGAGGAAGGCAAGUGAACCAAUUAGAGGAGGGUAGUAGAGAUCAAAACAGCAGAGGACAACAGCAUCAGUCAUACUAAUAGUAUUGAGUACUUAACAUACGUGGGGUACUAAGUGCUUUAUACAUGUAUUAACUCAUUCAGUCUCUACAACAAUUUUAACAUGAGCAAAAGCAUGCAAGUAGAAAUUAAGAUCAUAGGAGUGGGUAUAGAAAAUUGGAAGAGCAUUAGAAAAUCAGUGUGUGGCACCUUGAAAGUAAACAAAAACGCCCAAACAUUUACAAUUUUAAAAGGUCAAGAAACAAACCUAAAAUACUAAAAAUGUCAGUACAUACUCAUAAUAUGAGAAGACUGAGCUGGUCUACUAUCAACAGGGCUGCUGGUUAUAGGCAAAACUGCCAAGUGUUCUGUUUUUAUUUUAUGUGGGCUUACCAGUUCUGCCCUGUUUCUCUACUUUCUUUACCUAACCUCUUCUUUACCCAAAGUGGAUUUUGGGCAAGUAUAGUAUACCCAAUUUUAGCUAAAUACAGUAUAAAAAUACAGUAAUUUUUAUUCAGGCCCAAAAGAAAACUCUCCCUUGAUAGUCUAUAUUUACUAAUGAAAUCUUUAAACUGAAGGAUUGAAUCUCUCUCUGGAAUUUUAGGCAUUAACCAAAAGAUGAGAGUUUUAGUGCAUGAGCCUUCUAAAAAUACAUACCAUUCACGGUCAUUCUGCAUUAUUACAUAUAAAACAUUACUUUUAAAUUAAGUCUGAUCUGUAAGAUGGUCCCCAAGGAUCCCAUCUCCUAGUCUUCAAACCUUUGAGUGUGGGCUGGACCUAGUGACUUACUUAAAACCAAAAGAAUGUAACAAAAAUGAUAGAUGUCACUUUCAAGAAUAGGUUACGAAAAAGGCUGUCUUCUAUCUUGCACUCUCUCACUUGUUCAUUCUGUGGGAAGCUGGCUAGCUGCAUGUUAUGAGCUGCCCUAUGGAGAGGGCCACAUGGCAAGGAAGUGUGGGAGGGCCUAUGGCCCGUAGCCAGCGAGGAACUGAGUCCAGCCAACCACCACAUGAGUGAGCUUGGAAGCCGACCAACCUCAAUCAGGCCCACAGGUGAGACUGUAGUCCCACCUGACACUUUGAUUGCAACAAUUUGAGAGACUGUGAGGUACCCAGAUGCAGCAAUAGAUAAUACAGUCACUAUUGGCUAAUUUUGUUCUAAAACUUCAUGUAAAAAAAUAUAUAUAGUAUGUACUCUGAUGUCUAGCUUCUUUCACUCAGCAUAAUGUUUCUGAGAUUCAUCCAUGUUACUCUGUAUACCAGUAGUUCAUUCUUUUUUAUUGCUGAGUAGUAUUCCAUUGUAUGAUUAUACUACAGUUCACCUAUCCAUUCAACUGCUGAUAGACAUUUGGGGCAUUUCCAGUUUUCAGCUAUUAUGAGUAAAGUGCUAUCAACAUUCUUA